UGCGUAGUCCGCACGAGCGCACCCUUAUCCUUUGUUGCCAGCGCGUGAUGGSGGGAACUCAAAGGAGACUGCCGGUGAUAAACCGGAGGAAGGUGGGGAUGACGUCAAGUCAUCAUGGCCCUUACGAGUAGGGCUACACACGUGCUACAAUGGCGUAUACAAAGGGAAGCGACCCUGCGAAAGCAAGCGGAACUCAUAAAGUACGUCGUAGUCCGGAUUGGAGUCUGCAACUCGACUCCAUGAAGUCGGAAUCGCUAGUAAUCGUAGAUCAAAAUGCUACGGUGAAUACGUUCCCGGGCCUUGUACACACCGCCCGU
This 317-nucleotide ribosomal RNA is filed under the name Proteus mirabilis. RNAcentral's name for it is "bacterial SSU rRNA". The record is from RNAcentral. Lineage: Bacteria; Pseudomonadati; Pseudomonadota; Gammaproteobacteria; Enterobacterales; Morganellaceae.